Molecule: ribosomal RNA, 445 nt
Filed under: uncultured bacterium
Lineage: Bacteria
Description: partial 16S ribosomal RNA
Rfam family: Bacterial small subunit ribosomal RNA
Source: RNAcentral
GUGAGGAAUAUUGCGCAAUGGAGGCAACUCUGACGCAGCCAUGCCGAGUGCAGGAAGAAGGCGCUACGCGUUGUAAACUGCUUUUAACCGGGAAGAAACCCCAGGACGUGUCCUGGGUUGACGGUACCGGAGGAAUAAGCACCGGCUAACUUCGUGCCAGCAGCCGCGGUAAUACGAAGGGUGCAAGCGUUAUCCGGAUUCAUUGGGUUUAAAGGGUGCGUAGGCGGAGCGUUAAGUCAGUGGUGAAAUCCUGCAGCUUAACUGUAGACUUGCCAUUGAUACUGGCGCUCUUGAGUGCGCUUGAAGUGGGCGGAAUGUGCCGUGUAGCGGUGAAAUGCUUAGAUAUGGCACAGAACACCAAUUGCGAAGGCAGCUCACUAAGGCGAUACUGACGCUGAGGCACGAAAGCGUGGGGAUCGAACAGGAUUAGAUACCCGAGUAGUCC